AAAGCCGCGACCGAGUGGCCCGGUCCGCGCGCGCAGCUCGCGCCCAGCGCUCUCCAGCCGGGGUGGCGGCGGCGGCGGCGGUGGCGGCGGCGGCGGCGGGGGAGGGGUGCGGCGGGGGAGGGGAGGAGGCCUGGCCCCGCGGUCGCAGCCGCCACCGCCCGCCCCGACCGCCCGGACCGCCGCGGGGCCACGGGCCCGAGCCCCGGAUUCGCGCUCCGGAUUCGCCUCGGCUCGGCCGCGCGUAUAUUUGCCUUCCCUCCAUGAUCUCCAACACUAUCCGAUAAAGUAGAAGCAACUGAGGUACCGUGAAAGAGAAAGGAGCUGGAACUGAGAAAAAGCAGAGAAACUGAAAGGCCAAUGUGGGAGACAAAGAAGAGCCUGGAAGAGCCAAAUCUUACCUUCUGGACCAUGCUAAACCGUGUGCUCUACUGGCCCAUCAUCAAGUGGCUGUUCUCCCAACAGCAGCCCAGCCAUGCGGUCUCCCUAAACUUAGCUGUGGGGCUAGAUGCAUUAACCUUAUCCCGAUGUAUGAUUGGAUGUUAUCGUAUCAAGACCAAAUGAUAGAUCCCUUUACUCAGCUCCAAGGUACAGCCAGAUUAACAUUCGGUACAGUAGUAAAACACCUGAGACUCGUCAUAAAUUUAGCCCCAAAGGUUAAAGCUUUAGGAAUUUCUGCCAUGGGUCGCCACGGUUCUGCCACAGGUUGAGGCAGACCAUUGAGACAGGUGCCAGAAUAUUGGGACCACACUGUAUUGUCACUUUGAUAUUUGACUUUUGAGGCUUUUUCAAUUAUUGUUGUGUAUGUGUGUGUGUGCAUGCUAUUUCAGGAGUAGGAGUAGGGGGUUGGGGUAUUUGGAGAACCUGAUGGAAAUUAUAGCACUGUUUUCCAAAAAUAAUACACAUCCACAGACACACACACACACAGAGUAUUUAGAAACAGUUUCAGGAUAGCCAGGUUAGUAAUCCACCUGUGACUUGCCAUAAGGGUAGAAACUUUUUUAUACCGUAACUUAGUCAUUUAUCAUGUACUAUGUUCAUUUACCUUUUCAUGUGUGCAUGUUUUAUCCCAGUGAGUAGGCAAGCUUCCUCCAAGGAACAUAUGCCUCUUUAUGACCCCCAGUAAUAUGUGCAUGUAGGGACCUCACCUGUGGGAAAUCUUGCCAGUUGAGUCCUUUGAAGCUCUGUGAUUAACUGGGGACGGCAGUCUUCCCUUCAGCACUCCACCCUCCACCCACCACCCUCCAGCGCAAAAGAGACUAUCACAAGAGGACUUGGACCCUGCAUUCAUGUUCUGUUUGCUCUCUAGGUUUUAGGCUAAAGCAUUAUUUACAUAAUCCUCAUGCAAAUAUCCACUUGGCUAUUUGGAGAACAAAGCAGUGCCUACUGGAAAGAUUUUUUUUUUAAGUAUUAAUAAAUGAAUGCAUUACAUUAUUUUUAAAAAUUGUGAUGUCUUUAUCCCUUUGUCAGCUCCAUACCUUGCCCUAUACACUCCCAUACCUGUAAUCAGGACCCCCUUUUUGUUCUAUCCCAUGAAUUCCUAACUGUACUCCUUUCCUGCCAUGUGCUUGUGAGGGGAAAAAAAAAAAAAAAAAAGCGGGCAUAAACCUAAUGCUA
This is a long non-coding RNA of Piliocolobus tephrosceles (Ugandan red Colobus), 1614 nucleotides long. RefSeq lists it as uncharacterized. The transcript is spliced from 4 exons. The record is from RefSeq and is a predicted model, not a curated record. NCBI's taxonomy places the organism in Eukaryota, Metazoa, Chordata, Mammalia, Primates, Cercopithecidae.